This 663-nucleotide unclassified non-coding RNA is filed under the name Hevea brasiliensis (rubber tree). The record is from RNAcentral. Lineage: Eukaryota; Viridiplantae; Streptophyta; Magnoliopsida; Malpighiales; Euphorbiaceae.
AAAAUAAUUACAUAAAUUUGUUUUAAGAAUCAAAAACCGAACCGGAACCGUACCAAACCGGAAUCGAAACAACGAAGAACCAAACCAAGACCGUACCGAAAUUUCAGUUCAGUUCUGGUUCCGAAGCAAACCCCGAACCAGAAUCGAACACCCCUAAUUACUAUCAUAUGAAAUAUACGUACAUAAUUCAAAGAGAGUGAAAUAUUUGAUUGAGGGAGGAGCAAAUUAUUUGACAAAAAAGGUCCUGACCAACCUAUUGAUAUGGCAGGACCAUGAUGCAUGAGACUCCAAUAAUGAUAAGAAAAAUGUAAAGUACACAAAGAUGCUGAGAGGAAAGACACAAGAAAAAUCAUGCCUAUCAGUGUAACUAUGACUUGAAAAGCUUCACUAGAGCUUAAUCCUUAGCACAAAUCAUAGUUUUCAUCAUGCAGAGCAUGCCAAUAAAAGCAUAAUCUGAAAAAAAAUAAAAUAAAAAUCAAUGUACGCAUUUAAAGUAGCAUUCUAUCACGCAUUCAAGCUUAUAAACAUACACAAAAACGAAAUAGUAGCACAUAAAAUAUGCAUUAAAAAAAGAUCUGAUGAUCAUUUUGCUACCAUGCAAAACCAAAAGACACUCAAUUAUUGUUUGAUGAUUGUAAAGAUAUAGUUUUGAUAGAUGAGACG